Molecule: ribosomal RNA, 253 nt
Filed under: uncultured bacterium
Lineage: Bacteria
Description: partial 16S ribosomal RNA
Rfam family: Bacterial small subunit ribosomal RNA
Source: RNAcentral
UACGUAGGGUGCAAGCGUUAAUCGGAAUUACUGGGCGUAAGGCGCGCGUUGGCGGCUGUCUAAGUCGGAUGUGAAAUCCCCGGGCUCAACCUGGGAACUGCAUUCGAUACUGGACGGCUAGAGUAUGAGAGAGGGAGGUAGAAUUCCACGUGUAGCGGUGAAAUGCGUAGAUAUGUGGAGGAAUACCGGUGGCGAAGGCGGCCUCCUGGCUUAAUACUGACGCUGAGGUGCGAAAGCGUGGGGAGCAAACAGG